CGAGUCUCCAGCCGGGCGCCGCUGCUAGGAGCCCGGCAGGAAGCCCCCCGCUACCGCCAGCUUUAACGUCCCAUCUGCAAAGGAAGGGAGGUUCACAGCACCUAAGCUGCUUCCCUAGGUCAUACGGCCGGGAGGUAGAAGGCGUGCAGACACGUGGCAAGGAGCACACGUGGCGUGCUUGUCCCCGGGUGCCCCUGUCCCGCACAGCCUACCACCCCGACCUCAGGAAUGUGCGGGAGCGGGGCCGGAAGCAGUUGUGGCUCCCCGAGUCAGCUGGGCACAGCUUUCCCAUAUAAGGCCGGGCCCUGCGGGGAGGAGCUGGGUUUGGGACGCCCCCGUUCCUGCCACGAGGCCGGAGGGUUGGACCCUCAUAGCUCUGGGGCGCAGCAAUGGCGGGCACGGAGCCGUGGAACCUCAGGGCGGGGCUCCCAAACCUUGCGUGAGUGGGGUCUGAUACUGGAGAAUCCCUGAGAUCAAGAGUGCGUGGACACCCAGCCUGGCUUUCCCUCUGGAUAACGCUCCUGAGUCUGCGACCCUCAAGAGGACACUGACUUCCUGAGGGGCGGCGAAGAUGACUGGAGGGUGGGCCUCUUUGGAGACGCAACCCCAUCUCCAGUGGCUGCAGUGAACUCAAGAUAAGGUUAAGACUCUGGGUAUCCCAAGAUCACUCUGGAGUUUGGACCCUGGUAAAGCUUUUAACCUGGAGCUUUUGGGUAUGUGAUUUUACCACACAGAGUGACAAUGACACUGGCCCUCUUGGAGCAUGUGUGAACAUUCUGUAAGAUGGUGUACUUGGCACCCUACUGCUGUGCUCCGGUUUAUUAAUCAUUGCUGCUACCAUUAUCAUUGGGCAGGUUUCCAGGAAUGGGCAGUGCCCAGGCUGCUGGGGAGAGGCAAUUCCAGCCUUCCCACACCUGUAGCCCAUGGGACGCAGGCUCUAAGCCGAAGUCCAGGAAGGUGCCACAAGCUGGGCAAAUAGCCUGGGAUCGUGUAAGCCCUGAGAGGUCCGGACAGGCCCUUCCCUCCCUCCUCUUUGUUCCUGAGACCACAUCCUUUCUCCGGACUCCACCCACUACUGGCUCCAGUAUACAGGCUUGCUCCGCCAACGCUCACAGAGCGCUUUCGGGACACCUGGUCUUUGCCGUCCCAGGGAAAGCACUGGGUGACUAGCAGCAUCUUGACCUUGUAUCGAGUCGCCAAGGACCCUCUGAGAUGGAACAGGAUCAAUCAUAUCGGUAGUUCGUCUCCCCCUGCCCAUAACAGCAUGCUCUCCCAAACCCUUUAAAGUCUGCCUCUGGGAGCCGGGUAGUCCUAAACAGGGACUAUGAACUUAACAACCCUCAAGAAAACAGAAGGCUCCAAAGAGCCAGAUAUUCCCAAGAUCAAAUAAGGAGUCAGCCAGAAGACACAAGAGUUCAGACCCAGUCGAGAAAGCCACCCCGCACGUCCGGCCCUGGAGGCUGUGGAGCCGCCCUACCGGUCUUGGUGGAGACAAAAAUGGGGUGGAGCCUAAACUGGGAUGGAGCCUGGCCAGAUAGUCUGGAAUCCUACUUAAUAAGUAAAAACU
This 1567-nucleotide long non-coding RNA is filed under the name Cricetulus griseus (Chinese hamster). RNAcentral describes it as "lncRNA (ENSCGRG00000025956.1)". Lineage: Eukaryota; Metazoa; Chordata; Mammalia; Rodentia; Cricetidae. The record is from RNAcentral.